RNAcentral lists this non-coding RNA (24 nucleotides) under Mus musculus (house mouse). The record is from RNAcentral. Lineage: Eukaryota; Metazoa; Chordata; Mammalia; Rodentia; Muridae.
UAGAAGCUUUAGUGACCAGAAGAA